RNAcentral lists this transfer RNA (67 nucleotides) under Tessaracoccus sp. RNAcentral's name for it is "tRNA-Arg". It matches the Rfam family "tRNA", at positions 6 to 65 of the family's 71-position model. Rfam says of the family: Transfer RNA (tRNA) molecules are approximately 80 nucleotides in length. Their secondary structure includes four short double-helical elements and three loops (D, anti-codon, and T loops). Further hydrogen bonds mediate the characteristic L-shaped molecular structure. tRNAs have two regions of fundamental functional importance: the anti-codon, which is responsible for specific mRNA codon recognition, and the 3' end, to which the tRNAs corresponding amino acid is attached (by aminoacyl-tRNA synthetases). tRNAs cope with the degeneracy of the genetic code in two manners: having more than one tRNA (with a specific anti-codon) for a particular amino acid; and 'wobble' base-pairing, i.e. permitting non-standard base-pairing at the 3rd anti-codon position. The record is from RNAcentral. Lineage: Bacteria; Bacillati; Actinomycetota; Actinomycetes; Propionibacteriales; Propionibacteriaceae.
GCUAGCUCACCCUGGUAGAGCAACGGACUCCUAAUCCGUAGGUACUUGGUUCAACUCCAAGGCUGAU